GGCUCGGUGGUUUAGUGGUAUAAUUCUCGCUUAGGGUCUAACUCCUGAGCUUAAUUGCGAGAGGUCCCGGGUUCAAUUCCCGGCCGAGCCC
Molecule: transfer RNA, 91 nt
Organism: Tortispora caseinolytica NRRL Y-17796
Lineage: Eukaryota; Fungi; Ascomycota; Trigonopsidomycetes; Trigonopsidales; Trigonopsidaceae
Rfam family: tRNA
About the family: Transfer RNA (tRNA) molecules are approximately 80 nucleotides in length. Their secondary structure includes four short double-helical elements and three loops (D, anti-codon, and T loops).
Source: Rfam